CCCUAGCCCGGAUAGUAGCGGUAUCCUUUGCCUGCUUUCUUUAAGCGGGCAAAGAUAUAAGCGGAUAGCCGGAAAUUGC
RNAcentral lists this small RNA (79 nucleotides) under Flavobacterium collinsii. RNAcentral describes it as "Flavo-1". It matches the Rfam family "Flavo-1 RNA". Lineage: Bacteria; Pseudomonadati; Bacteroidota; Flavobacteriia; Flavobacteriales; Flavobacteriaceae. The record is from RNAcentral.